RNAcentral lists this ribosomal RNA (1491 nucleotides) under Candidatus Zinderia insecticola. Its description in RNAcentral is "bacterial SSU rRNA". It matches the Rfam family "Bacterial small subunit ribosomal RNA". The record is from RNAcentral. Lineage: Bacteria; Pseudomonadati; Pseudomonadota; Betaproteobacteria; Burkholderiales; Oxalobacteraceae.
AUUAAACGCUAGCGAUAUGCCUUACACAUGCAAGUCGAACGGUAACAUAGAUUUAAAUUUAUUUAAAUUUGAUGACGAGUGGCGUACGGGUGAGUAAUAUAUUGGAAUGUACCUUGAAGUGGGGGAUAACUAGUUGAAAAAUUAGCUAAAACCGCAUAAAAAUCUUUUAGAUUAAAAUAAGGGAUAUUACCUUAUGCUUUAAGAGCAGCUAAUAUCUGAUUAGCUAGUUGGUAUGGUAAAAGCUUACCAAGGUUAUGAUCAGUAGCUGGUUUGAGAGAAUGAUCAGCCACACUGGAACUGAGACACGGUCCAGACUCCUACGGGAGGCAGCAGUGGGGAAUUUUGGACAAUGGGGGCAACCCUGAUCCAGCAAUAUCGCGUGAGUGAUGAAGGCCAUAAAGGUUGUAAAGCUCUUUAGUUAAGGAUGAAAAAAUUUUAGUUAAAAAUUAAAAUAUAUACGACAGUACUUAAAGAAUAAGCACCGGCUAACUACGUGCCAGCAGCCGCGGUAAUACGUAGGGUGCAAGCGUUAAUCGGAAUUAUUGGGCGUAAAGUGUGCGCAGGUGGUUAUAUAAGAUAUGGAUAAAAUACUUAAGCUUAACUUCGGAAAUAUACUUAUAACUGUAUAACUAGAGUUUAUUAGAGAAGAAUAGAAUUUUGCAUGUAACAGUGAAAUGUGUUGAUAUGCUUAAGAAUACCAACGGCGAAGGCAAUUCUUUGGAAUAAACUGACACUAAUAGCACGAAAGUGUGGGGAGCAAUCAGGAUUAGAUACCCUGGUAGUCCACACCCUAAACGAUGUCUACUAAUUGUUAAAAUAUAUUUAUAAUAUUUUUUAAUAGUAUAGCUAACGCGUAAAGUAGACCGCCUGGGAAUUACGAUCGCAAGAUUAAAACUCAAAGGAAUUGACGGGGACCUGCACAAGCGGUGGAUGAUGUGGAUUAAUUCGAUGCUACACGAAAAACCUUACCUACCCUUGCAUGUUUAGAACUUUAAAGAAAUUUAAAGGUGCUUAUAAGAUAAGAACUAAAAUACAGGUGCUGCAUGGCUGUCGUCAGCUCGUGUCGUGAGAUGUUAGGUUAAGUCCUACAACGAGCGCAACCCCUGUUACUAGUUGCAAAUAAUAAUCUUAAUAUAUUAUUUUUGAUCUCUAGCGAAACUGCCAAUGUUAAAUUGGAGGAAGGUAGGGAUGACGUCAAGUCCUCAUGGUCUUUAUGGGUAGGGCUUCACACGUCAUACAGUGGUAUAUACAAUAAGAAGCGAAGCUGCAAAGUUUAGCAAAUCAUUUAAAGUAUACCGAGGUUCGAAUUGCAGUCUGUAACUCGACUGCAUGAAGUAGGAAUCGCUAGUAAUCGCAUAUCAGCAUGGUGCGGUGAAUAUGUUCUCAGGUCUUGUACACACCGCCCGUCACACCAUGGAAAUAGGUUUAGCUUAAAAGUGGUUAUGUUAACCAUAGGAAGUAGCCAUUAGAGCUGCACUUGUAACUAGGGUG